Long non-coding RNA from Vicia villosa (hairy vetch), 599 nucleotides. RefSeq lists it as uncharacterized. Lineage: Eukaryota; Viridiplantae; Streptophyta; Magnoliopsida; Fabales; Fabaceae. The transcript is spliced from 3 exons. The record is from RefSeq and is a predicted model, not a curated record.
AAACAAUUCGUUAUAAAUUGAUGUAAAAAUUAAUAUUUGCUAUAUGAAAAGGAGAAAAAAUAUGAUUGAAACUCUCAAAUUUAUUUAUGUUAUGGUCAUAUUUAUUCCCUUAAUUUUUGUUAUAAGUGAUGAGAACCUUUUGUUUGUAAUAGAGACGAUAAUUGCCAUUUUAAUUUGUGCAUGUUUCCAUUGAUACCGACGUGUGUAGAUAAUGCAUGUCUCUGCGCGAAACGAAUACUGCACUGAAACAUGUUCAUUUUACUAAGCAAGUGUUCUCACAUAUGUUUGGUUUUAGAAGAUACAGAGAACAAAAAUUUCACCACAUGGUUAAAGUUAUUAUUUCGAUGAAUGAAGGACAUGUACAAAGAGAAAAGAGGAAGGAAACUAUGAAUAAUAUAAAUCAUAGUGCUAUAUAAAGUUAGUUUUAUUUAAACUUCAUUUGAAUUGUAAUGAUGUUAGUUAUGAUUAUAUAUAUACUUUUUUCAUUUCAUAACAUGUAUUUAGGGUAAUAAUGUUUAAUUACUUUAUGAAUGAUAUUAAUUAAAGAGUGAAAUAUGUUUUUAGUCCCUAUAAAUAUGACAUUUUUUAUAUAAUUUUAG